Molecule: RNA transcript, 6836 nt
Organism: Boleophthalmus pectinirostris (great blue-spotted mudskipper)
Lineage: Eukaryota; Metazoa; Chordata; Actinopteri; Gobiiformes; Gobiidae
Gene: cfap57
Gene name: cilia and flagella associated protein 57
Exons: 2
Source: RefSeq, a predicted model, not a curated record
AUGGAGAAUAUACAAGACGAAAAUCUAACAGACAUUAAUGAACAAAUAUUAAGUGAGCAAAAUAAGAUUCAGAGUACACCAAUACCACGACGUUCUGAAAGAGAAAAAAUGCCUACAGCAAAAAUGGCUGCUUAUCAAAGGGAAGAAAUUAGUAAAAAGGAAAAGAGACUCUUAACUCUGUAUGAACAGUGGAAAAUACAAGCACGUGAAACAAGAGAAAGUUUAAAACAGGACAUCUCAGAAAAGGAAAUGUCAGAUCUUGCAGAUAUAUUAGAGCAAAAGAGAGAUGAUCUGUUAACACAAUACACUGAAAUGAGAGGUCACAUAGCACCUUCAUCUGACAUAAGGAGAAAAACUGAUGCAUGUGAAGCAGUAACUCAUGACAUUGUGAAGAUCAUUCUGGAAAGAAUUAGUGGUAUUGAUGGAGAUUUUGAUGCAGAAUGUGAAGGCAAACGUUUACAUGGACUAUUAAAGCAUGAUUACGCCCGGUCCAUCUAUGGUUCCACCGCAGCAUCAAAUCACAGCCAAAGUUCUUCCACUUCAUGCCUCGCCGUGAAACGAGCAGAUGCUGCAGCAGAUCUUGCAGUAAAAGAAGCACAGUACAGAGCAGUACAAGAAGAACAAAGACAAAAGGAAAGGAUUAAAACUCUAGAAGAGGAGCACAUGAAACAAAUGGCCAUUCAAACAUCAGCGUUGGAACGCUUAAGAGCUGAAAAGGAAGUUGAAGCAGCUCGUGCCAGGUUGGAAGCCUACAGCAGAGAGUUAUCACAGCUCGAUGAUACAAAAUCAGUGAAAAGUGAACAGGUGAGCCCAGAGUACUCACCCAGAAAGGCUGCCCCACCUUUUACCUUACCUGCACCAACAGCUACCCCUAGUGUCAACCAGCUUGCACAGGCUGUGCAAGACAGCAUAAAAAUGAACAGACUUCCCACACCAGAGCCAACGAUGUUCAGUGGCGAGCCGAUAAAGUUCAUUGAAUGGAAAUCCUCUUUCACGUCUCUUAUUGAACAAAAUGGCAUCUCAGCAGCAGACAAACUGUACUACCUCAAAAGAUAUGUGACCGGCCCAGCUCGCAAAUGCCUUGAAGGGACUUUCUUUAGAAAUGAUGAAGAGGCUUAUAGGGAUGCCUGGGAAAAACUGAAUCAAAGGUACGGCCAGCCAUUUGUGAUUCAAAAAGCAUUUAGAGAGAAGUUAUCUAACUGGCCAAAAAUACAAUCUAAAGAUGCUGAUGGGCUAAGGGACUUUGCAGACUUUGUAAACGCUUGCAUGCUUGCUAUGCCUCAUGUAAAAGGAUUACAGAUACUCAACGACUGCGAAGAAAAUCAGAAACUGUUACGCAAACUACCAGACUGGAUAAAUGCGAGAUGGAACAGGCAUGUGACAAAGACACUUAUGGACGGGUGUGAGUUUCCCAGCUUCAGCGAUUUUGCCUCAUUCCUCUCCCUUGAAGCAGAAGUCGCAUGCAACCCAGUCACCUCCAUACAUGCACUUCACUCCACUGAAACAAAUGGUGAUAGAAGAAACACAAAGGAAAUCAAAAGGAAUAAGGCAAGUGCAUUUAACACAAACACAACUGAACAAGGUGACAAUAGAGUAAAGAAUAAAACGCACAGUGGCUCUUCAUGCAUGUUGUGUCAAGAGAUGCAUCCUCUUCACAAGUGUCCAAACAUUCUGAAAAUGUCUCUAGAAAACAGAAAGGAAUAUGUAAAGGACAAUAAGCUUUGUUAUGGAUGUUUGAAACCAGGGCACAGUGCUAAGGACUGCAGACGCCGCCUCAAUUGUGAAACUUGCCAUAAAAGACACCCAACCUGUCUUCAUGAUGAAAAUUACAGCAUCGGGCUGCAGAGAGAAACACAAGGUCAUGAGAGCAUGAACAUUGCAACACAAAGUAACUCACCUGAAACAGCCACAGCCAUGUCACUGAAUGUAGCCAGAGCAGAGCACACAGUCAGUACCUCAAUGAUAGUGCCAGUGUGGGUGUCAACUGCUACUAACCCACAAAAAGAAAAACUAGUCUAUGCGUUAUUAGACACACAGAGUGACACGGUCUUUAUCGAUCAGGAUGCAACAAGUGAACUGAAGGCAGAGGUGUGCCCAGUGAAACUGAAGCUAACUACAAUGAUGGGUAAAAACGCAGUUGUAAGCAGCGGAAAGGUGUGUGAUCUUCUUGUGAGAGGUUACAAUUCAGCAACUGUGAUAAGGCUUCCCAUUGCUUACACAAAGGACUACAUACCUGCAAACAGGGAACACAUACCGACAUGUGAAACAGCCAAAUUGUGGAACCAUUUGUUACCCAUUGUCGAUGAAGUUCCGCCGCUCCUCAGCUGUGAAGUAAGUCUUCUCAUUGGUUAUACCUGUCCGAGAGCUCUAGCGCCAAGACAAGUACUCCUAGGCAAAGACAAUGAGCCAUAUGCUAUUCAAACUGAUUUAGGAUGGAGCAUAGUUGGUAACUCAAUGCCUGGCAAUGACACAGACACAACAAGUAGUCUCUGUCACAGAGUAACCAUCAAAGAAAUACCUCCAUCCACCCCUGCAGAUGCAAUACGUGCUCUAGAAAAGGACUUCAGAGAAACUGAGAGAAAUGAAAAAACUGUGUCUCAAGAAGAUCUCAUGUUCCUUGAGAAACUUGAAGAAGGCAUAACACAGACUGAACAUGGACAUUACGAAAUGCCAUUGCCAUUCAAGGAAAGGCCACAAAUGCCCAAUAACAGACAACUUGCCGAAAGCAGACUCAAUCAGCUCAAACGAAAACUCAUUCGGGAUGAAAGAUACAAAAGAGACUAUGUCACGUACAUGAAUGACAUCAUCAAAAGAGGUGAUGCAGAAGAGACUGAUGAUAAUGGACCAGCAGGUGAAACGUGGUACAUACCGCACCACGGCAUCUAUCAUCCAAAGAAACCAGAGCGGCUGCGUGUGGUGUUUGACUGCUCAGCUAAACACAAAGGUACAUGUCUUAAUGAACAUUUACUGAACGGCCCCGACAUGAUUAACAAUCUAACUGGUGUACUUGUGCGCUUUCGACAACAUCAAAUAGGUUUAAUGUGUGACAUAGAAAAGAUGUUCCACCAGUUCAAAGUCAGUGCAAAUGAUCGCAACUACUUACGGUUCUUGUGGUGGAAAGAUGGUGACUUUAGUAAAUCGCCUCAAGCAUACAGGAUGACAGUACAUCUCUUUGGCGCCGUUUCGUCACCUGGCUGUGCGAACUAUGGACUCAAAUAUUUAGCCAAAGAAAACAGCCUUGAGUAUCCUGUAGGUGCACAGUUCAUUGCCAGAGACUUUUAUGUAGAUGACGGAGUCACAAGUGUUGAGACAGUCAAAGAUGCUGUAGAGCUAUCCAAAGAAGCACGCAAUCUAUGUGCAAAAGGUGGACUAAGGCUACACAAGUUCGUGUCCAACAACAACAGUGUUGUUCUAAACAGCAUCCCAGCUUCGGAACAUGCAACUGACACAAAAACAAAGGACUUAACAUUCAGUGAAAUACAAACAGAAAGAGCACUUGGCAUUCAUUGGAACAUAGAAAAGGAUUGUUUCACUUUCAACAUUGCAAUAAAGGACCAACCACCUACCAGGCGCGGCAUUUUGUCCACAGUCGCAGCAAUAUACGACCCCUUGGGAUUCAUUGCUCCAUAUGUACUCAAUGGCAAAAGAAUCCUCCAAGAAAUGUGUCGACAAGGAACAGACUGGGACAAUCCAUUACCUGAACAUCUCAAGCCACGGUGGGAGAGCUGGAAACAAGAUCUAAAUGAUCUGAAAAGGUUGCAAAUAAACAGAUGUUAUGUUCCUGUAACAUUUGGACAUGUCAAAAAAAGGGAACUGCAUCACUUUUCCGAUGCAAGCACAUCAGGAUAUGGACAAUGUUCUUACUUAAGACUGAUUAACAAAAACAAAGAUGUUCACUGCAGCUUUAUUAUGGGCAAAGCGCGUGUCUCUCCCACAAAGGUCACCACUAUUCCAAGGUUAGAACUGACCGCGGCUACAGUAUCUGUCACAGUAAGCAAUAUGCUAAAGGAAGAGCUACUCUAUGAAGAUGUGGAGGAGUUCUUUUGGACAGAUUCAAAGGUCACUUUGGGGUACAUAAGUAAUGAAGCAAGACGUUUUCACACAUUUGUCGCUAACAGAGUACAAAAGAUCCGCAACAAUACCACACCACAACAAUGGUUUUAUGUACCUACCUGUGAAAACCCCGCUGACGUCGCAUCGAGAGGCACAACAGUAAAUGAGCUGCUGUCAUCCAACUGGCUUACAGGCCCUCACUUCCUGUGGAAAAGGGAGAUAGAUCUUCCAACAAAGGAGACUAUCGAACUUCCAAUAGGAGACCCAGAGGUGAGAAAAGUGCAGACACUAAACACACAAACUUCAGAGCAUAAAAGUCUCAGCGACCGUCUCACCAAGUUCUCAUCCUGGUCCCGUGCAGUCAGCGCCAUAGCACGUCUGAAAAGAUAUCUGCUCAAGGACAGAUCAAGGUCACUUUCUACUGUCACUGAGAGGCAAAAUGCAGAAAUCAUAAUCAUUAAAGAUCUUCAGAGACAAGCAUACUCAAACGAAAUAGUGUCACUGAUCAAAGGAAAAGCAUUACCAAAGAACAAUAAAAUGCAUAACUUGGAUCUCUUCUUGGAUAAAGACAAAGUGCUCAAGGUGGGAGGAAGGCUACUUCACUCAUCGCUUCCAAACUCAUUCAAACAUCCGACUGUCAUUCCAAGAGGACACCAUAUCACAAAGCUGAUAAUUGCUCACUGUCACGAAAGAGUCAGUCAUCAAGGAAAAGGCUUCACAAUGAAUGAAAUAAGGUCCAGUGGCUAUUGGAUACCAAAACUAAGUCAAACAGUAUCAUCCUACAUUCGGCAGUGUGUGCAUUGUCGGAGACUACGCAGACCUGUGGAAGGACAAAAAAUGAGUGAUCUCCCCGUUGAAAGAGUUGAAUGUUCUCCACCUUUCACAUACUGUGGUAUGGACGUUUUCGGCCCAUUCAUGACCAAACAGGCAAGAAAAGAACAUAAAAGGUAUUGUCUCAUUUUCACAUGUUUCUAUUCGCGAGCUGUACAUGUAGAAAUGUUAGAAGACCUGUCUACAGAUACUUUUAUUAAUGGACUAAGGUGCUUUAUUGCUUUAAGAGGCUCUGUCAGACAAAUAAAAUGUGAUCAGGGUACUAAUUUUGUUGGUGCCAAGAAUGAACUAAAUGCAGCACAGGAUGAAAUAGACACUGACAAACUGACAUUCUUUCUUGCUGAAAAACAGUGUGAUUUUGUUCUUAACACACCUCAUGCUAGUCACGCAGGUGGAGUAUGGGAACGGCAAAUACGGACUCUGAGGAACGUUCUCAAUGCCACAUUAGCUCUCAUAAAAGGACGGCUCACCGACUCAUCCCUCAGAACCUUCUUAUAUGAAGCAGCCGCAAUAGUAAACAGCCGUCCACUGACAACAGACAAUCUCAAUGAUCCAAACAGUCUGGAACCACUAACCCCAAAUCACCUCGUCACUAUGAAAACCACAACAGCAUUGCCUCCUCCAGGACAUUUUGUUAAAGAAGACUUGUAUGCACAAAAACGCUGGCGCCAAGUACAGUACUUAGCAGAACAAUUUUGGAGCAGAUGGAAGAAAGAAUAUCUUUACAAUAUCAUGGUCCGGCAGCGAUGGCACAUGCCUAAAAGAAAUAUGCAGACAGGUGACGUAGUGAUGGACAAGGAUGAAACUCAACCGCGGGCCCAAUGGAGACUUGGUAGAGUCUUAGACACUGUAACAGAUUCAGAUGGACUUGUGAGAAAGGUUAAAAUUGCUUUUGCAGACAGAAAUCUCAGCAACAAGGGUGUACGUUUGCAUAAAAUGUCUAUAGUGGAACGCCCAGUUCAUAAGUUAGUUCUACUGCUAGAAGGUUAAGAAAAGUGAUGGUACACAAUCUAAAUGUGCUGAAAUGUUGAAGUUUUUACAUGUUGUUUACUAAGUUGUUAUUGUUGGUUGCAUUGAGAAAUUAUUUGUGUUUUAUUUUGUGUUUAUAAACAGCAAAUAAUUUGGUGGGAGUGUAAAGGUCAAGUUAGCUCUUAUAUACAUUAACACGCAGUUUAUGGCAUUUAAUUGUAAGGUUGCGCUUUUAUUUUGAUGACUUCCGGUGUGAACGGAAGUGAAGGAAAAAACGUUAGCUUGUUAUAAAGAAACGACGCACAGUAAAACACGGCAACGUUAAUAGUGAAAAUCAAAACAACGGAGAAAAGUUCUAUAAAACAAAGUAAAGAUAGCUACAGUCGACAGGGGAACAAGCUCUUACGUUGGUUCUAUGACACGGCAAGGAAAGAUUAAAAGUCAUUUAACCAUCAGUUCUGGCCUUCUCAGUUCGACUGGAUGCUACACAGUCCUUGUUCAGUCGAAUGAACGAAUGAUACACGGAUUUUUGUCCUUUAGAAAAUGCUGCAAAUUCUCCAUUCUCCACUCGUUCAGACUUUCCGAGCAGCCUACAUUCUCGUAAUAUUAUGACUUUAUUUUGACUACGACUUUAUUCUCAUAAAAUUACUACUUUAUUCUUGUAAGUUUACGACUUUAUUCUCGUAAAAUUACGACUUUUUCUGGCUUCGACUUUAUUCUCAUAAUAUUACGACUUUAAUGUCAAAAUGUUACGACUUUAUUCUCGUAGCGCCAGCAUGUUUUUUUUUUUUUGAUCCUUAUACUCCGUCGUACUCUCGCGAUAGACUUGACAAACAAAAGUAUCCUGUGCGCAAACGCGUUGCUUAGCGACCUGACGCGAAACUUUGAAGUCAGGCCACGAAUUUUGGAUUAUUUUGUGUCCAGAUUCUCGCGGUAUAUCGCACGCGUGUUGGAUUUGUACUUUUAAAAAAUUUAAAAAUUGA